AAAACACCCAUCAUGGGACUGCGGGGUGUUGAAGCGCGGUGCUGGCGGGUGUUAUCGGUGCGGAUGAUGAAUGGCUGCACUCUGUCAGGCUGACAUAUGCACGGUGUGGCAGAUGGGACCCGGAGUCUGACUUUGAGCAAAAAUGCUACAUGCUGCGUGAAUCUGUUGCAACAUCAUAAGAGCAUUGACUUUGACUUCACAUCAGAGCAGUGAACACCAGUGUCCAGACGUUCCUUUGAGCCCCGGAUUAAUUUCCAUCAUACUCAGCCGCAUGGAGAAGGUGCCCCAGCUGAGGAACAGAUGACUCGCGCUCUUAACAGGUGCUCAGACACUCAGCAGGCCUCAUGCUUCGGGGGAUCAAAGCGCGGCUGCAGAAACUGCAAGCCCCUGUAAUUGCGUACAAUGAGCUGGCGAGUCGGCCGGUCCAGGUGCUAUUUGAACAGGUGUAUUUGCAUGUCACAAUACAGAUGGCAUAGGCCUUCAUGGCCUUGAUCACGAUUCGAGCACAAUUUACCCACACCGAGCCGCCACUGUUCUCCAGACCUGCGCUGUUUACCAACGUAAACAGAAUGAACGAUGCCAGACACUCUUUUGCUAGCCCAUACCCUGUUUUUCCUCCUGGACAGCACAUGUCUAAAUGUUCCCUUGCUGGAAAAAUACUUUAAACCAGUGUAAGGUAGAAAGCUGGUCUGUUUUGCUAGUUUUAGAAGGGUAUUGAGUAGUUGACACAGCUGCUCAGGCUGGG
Cyprinus carpio carpio is the source of this 745-nucleotide long non-coding RNA. The record is from Ensembl. Lineage: Eukaryota; Metazoa; Chordata; Actinopteri; Cypriniformes; Cyprinidae.